GAUGCACGCUGGCGGCGUGCUUAACACAUGCAAGUCGAACGGAAAGGCCCAAGCUUGCUUGGGUACUCGAGUGGCGAACGGGUGAGUAACACGUGGGUGAUCUGCCCUGCACUUCGGGAUAAGCCUGGGAAACUGGGUCUAAUACCGGAUAGGACCACAUUUUGGAUGGUGUGGUGGAAAGUUUUUCGGUGUGGGAUGAGCUCGCGGCCUAUCAGCUUGUUGGUGGGGUAAUGGCCUACCAAGGCGUCGACGGGUAGCCGGCCUGAGAGGGUGUACGGCCACAUUGGGACUGAGAUACGGCCCAGACUCCUACGGGAGGCAGCAGUGGGGAAUAUUGCACAAUGGGCGCAAGCCUGAUGCAGCGACGCCGCGUGGGGGAUGACGGCCUUCGGGUUGUAAACUCCUUUCGCUAGGGACGAAGCGUUUUUGUGACGGUACCUGGAGAAGAAGCACCGGCUAACUACGUG
Molecule: ribosomal RNA, 467 nt
Filed under: uncultured bacterium
Lineage: Bacteria
Description: partial 16S ribosomal RNA
Rfam family: Bacterial small subunit ribosomal RNA
Source: RNAcentral